This 17-nucleotide unclassified non-coding RNA is filed under the name Mus musculus (house mouse). RNAcentral describes it as "oocyte_clustered_small_RNA5587". The record is from RNAcentral. Lineage: Eukaryota; Metazoa; Chordata; Mammalia; Rodentia; Muridae.
AAAAGUCCAUGGGGGUC